This is a long non-coding RNA of Melospiza georgiana, 5942 nucleotides long. RefSeq lists it as uncharacterized. The record is from RefSeq and is a predicted model, not a curated record. The transcript is spliced from 3 exons. Lineage: Eukaryota; Metazoa; Chordata; Aves; Passeriformes; Passerellidae.
AGGGGUUCCGCAGGCAGGGAAGGGGUUCCCCAUGCAGGGAAGGGGUUCCCCAUGCAGGGAAGGGGUUCCUCAGGCGGGGAAGGGGUUCCCCAUGCUGGUCGCUGGCGUGACUCGAGGGGCACGGUCAGUGUAGGCACAGGGCAGUGAACACCAGAGUGGAGCAAAACCAGCAGCAGGCACUUGGCUUUUGCGUUUCUAAAGGUUUUAUAUGCAAUGAGCAGGUAUUCCAAUAAGCCAUAUAUUUAGCUCCUUUUUUUCCUCUUCAUAAUAAUAUAUCCUUACUUGGAUAUAAGUAUAGCUAAGUACUGAUAAAUGCAAAUUUGAGGACCGUGGAUGCCCUUGUAUCACUGUCUUAGUGUGCCAGCACUGCCCCACACAGAGUGGAAUAUACGAUGGUCCUUUGGUUCCUCAAAAUGCGUCCUUGGCCUUCAGAUUCACACCAUGGAAAAUACUUGUAAAUCCAAUUUUUAAAGUGAAGUAUUUUUUAAGGUGAAGCAAAUGUGGUGCAGAUGAGAGCAGCUGCAAAGUCCAGUCUGUAAAGCAGUACAGCGUGGCUGCUGCUUAUCACCGAGCUCUCUGCUGAUGCAGCUCGGGCCUGCUUUGCACCUCUUGGGUCACAGUAUCUCCAGACCUGUUGGUCACAGUGACAUAUUUGUCUCCACAACUUUUGCUGGUGGACCUCAGUCUGGGAUCAGAGUUUUUGCUGAUUAUCCUUAUGAGCUCAUUCUUAUAGAUUUCAUUUUAUUACUGUUUAGGGUGGUUUGUUUUGCUGCUUAUCAAUGGCUAAGUUAAACAACCCUGGUGAAAAGCCUAUGAUUGCUGCCAUUUAUGGUGUUCUAACACGGUUUCAGGCUUUUCAAGGAAACUGAAACUGAAAAUGGGGCAGGAUUGUGAGUGUUGCUCCAGAUAGAGAGGCUUUGCAAUGGUGCAUUGUAAAUAAUGACUGUUGUACCUGGCUUGCUCAUUUGGGUGUUUGUCCUAUGAGUCUGUUGGCUUGGUUUAAUAGAAUUAGGCAAGCAAUUGUUGGAGGGGAUCCAGGGAACCACUGCCUCACCCAGCCGUGAUUUCAAGGUUAAGGCAAUGUCACAUCUGUCUGCUGAGAGAACCUGGUGAUGAAACUCCAGCGUUGUCACUGGUAUUGUCAGUUGUGCAGUGGCACCAUUGGGAAGGAGAUUAUGGGCAGCUAAACGACUGAGUGAGCUGUUCUCUCAUGUUUUGUUUUCUCUGUGAGGCUUGGGCCUGUGUCAUUGAUGUAGUUCAGUGAAAACCACACUGUGCUGUGAGUGAGGCUGGGAUCACGGUUUGAUCCUCCACAGUGAGGAGGUCCUAUGGAAACCUGUGGUGCCUCCCUGAUGUGCCAGAAUAGCCUUUCUUUGGAAACCAGAGUGCAAACUGGUCUCAUCCUGACAUGCAGUCGGGACAUAGGUGGGAUUUCCUCUGCAUCUCAUGGUGGAGAUGUUGCAUUUAUUUACCUUGAGGCCAAUCUCCAGAAGGAAUAGCUGCUAAUCCCAGUUACAACUUUCCUCUUACUAGGUACAGGAUGCUCCAAAUCUGGGCUUGUUUUAAAAAAUGCAGACUUUCAAGUGCCAGAAGAGACCUGCUUUUCAUGGUGGACUCCCAGAGACCAAAGAGGAAGCAGAGGUUCAUGUUUGGCCUUGCAGCAAGACAGACUGCACCUGUGAGAGCUCUGAAGGGGAAGAGCUGCUACCAGUCACGGCUGGAUUCUUUGGAGUAGGGGUGGUUGAAGGCACUGCUGUUCCCAGCCUUUCACUCCUGUUAUGUCAGGUAACUGUAGGUCUUCUGCAAUAUCAGAGUGAUAAAAUGACACUUGAACAGAUUCAUGAGAACCUAGGGAGUGUGACCUGUCAACUCUGGUUGGCAACUCUGCUCAAGUCCAAGAUCACCUAAGUCUUUGUCAUUCCUUGACAGAAAACAGUUUAAACUCUUUCUGGAUACUGAGUGAUGGCUACAGGUGAUUAUUCUGAAGGAUACAAUUCUGCAUUUCCUGUUGAAGCUCUGCUCUGUGACAGCUUAGCUGGAUUGCAGCAGACAAGGUACUGGAGACUGACCAGAAGGAAUGUGAGAAGGAACCAUUGAAGAUUUUGUACUAAAAGUAUCAGGUGGUUGUGAAUGACUGCCCUUGGGAAAUUCACUUUAUCCUCUGGCCAGAAAGGUUUCUUCUAAACAUUUAGUUUUGCUUUUUGAUUAGUCUGUGUUUGUACAGCCUCCUCUUGGAGAGACAGGCUGGAAAUUUGUACCAGUAUUUGCUUUUGCAUGCUCAAACACUACUGUGCUUCCUGAAAAAAAUUCUAGAAAACAACUAUAUCAUGCAGAAAACAGAAGUUAUCAUAAAUUAAACAUCUGACAGUAUGAGAAGGAAUACCAAAAGGUAAUUGUACAAUUCCUUAGUCUGUUCUGAUUUUGGGUGUGUGGAGAUUCCUAUAAGACGUGAAAACCUUGCCUGUUUAUUUACAUGACAAAAGAGGAAAAAAGCUUUUUUUAGCAGAACAUACUGUUUAAACAAACAUCACAGUGAAACAAGACAGCUAAAGGUACUGUAAGUCCAUUCUUUUUUUAUUUUUUAUAAUGUUUUGAAGUUUUUGUGUCUAAGAAUAAAUUAUUUUUCUUUUCCUUUAUUGUGAAGUGCAUACCUACAGUCAGUUUUUGUGACAGCAAACUGUUCCCUCUUUCUGUUAAGUUUACAAAAAUUGCACACUCUGUGGAGCUACUUUAACUUUUAUUUGGAGGCUUUAUCAUCUUAGCAGUGGACUUGCAGGCUGCUUCAGAAAUUCUGGAGGCUGCAUAUUGGCUUAGAAAAUGGCUCAAAAGCCACAGGCACACCAUUUGGUGUUUUGGUCAGUGUGCUGCUCCACAAACUCUCCUUUAGACAUGGGGACUGCACAGAACCUCUGCAAGACUCAGGGUGAUUGCAAUGGAGCAUUUUGCCUCUGGCUUACAAGCUGUACACCAGCAAUGUGCAAGGGUUAAGGACAAGAUAAAAUCACUUGCUGCUGUUUUGAUUUCCUGAGGAAAUGUUGUUUUUACGUGAAAAAUGAAGAAUGCAGUGAGGACCAUUCCUGUGCCAAAAUUUCAAAGUGUGUUCCUGUCGGCUGUGGUGCCAUGCAUAGGUUUUACAUCAGGAUCUUAAAUUUGGAUAUAAAGAUCUCUGUUGUAGAAGCCCCAUCUUGUGGACAACCAAUCAAUGACUACUUCAGCACAGCUGAAAUUUGAAAUACUUAGAAAAUAUGGAGAUAUUUUGGUAGUUUCUGCAACAAAUUGGAGAGUCUUCAUGUUUCUAGAAAAUAUGGAAACUUCAUUCAUGUGUAGAAAUCAGCAUGUGCUUUCCAAACACUAUUUCCACAGGAAGAAAUUGAGAAUUGCAGAGAGAUAUCAACACUGGGGUGGAACUAAGGAUGGUGCCCUCAGAAGCCUGUUUUAAGUCCAAAUCAGCUAAAACACAAACCUGAACCCUGCCUUGAAUUCCCCAAAUAGAGUCCUGUAGUACUUGGAUAGUACAAAUGAGUCUUUAAGUGGCAAAAUCAUAUAAGGGCAGAAGAACAUCCUUUGAAAAAAAUUUGUUAAGAGAGAAAGAAUAACAAAGUAUGCAUGAAAACUGAAUCUGGAAACUUUGGAAAUAUCCUUAAGGAGAUUGUUUGUUUCAGCACAAAGUAGUGGAUGAGGUCAGCAGCUCCAGACUCAGUGAGUCAACACACUUAGGAGGAAGUAAAGAGUGUGAAAACAAGCCUGUGAUAAAAGCUAAUUUCAGGUUUCAGUGUGACCUUGGUAGGAUAUAUUAGAUAUAUUCUAUUAAAUAGAAUAAUACAUAUAAUUACAAUGUCUUUUUGUUGCUCUGAAGAAAUUGGGUUGCUCUAUGAUAGUUUCUGUUUCUUUCAUAUGCAGAAAGUAGGAACCUUCGUGAUAGUUUUCUGUGUAGUAAUUAAGGCUGUAAUGAAGGAGCCAGAAAUUGUGGCGACAUCUAGGGAAAGGUUGGCAGAAGUGCCUCCAACUAAAACACCUCCCACUGAAACUGUGGCCACUUCUUUUCCUGUGAAGGUGAUGCAUCCAGGGAAUGUCCUGUUGGAGUGGUUUAUUUGGAAGGGAUGCUGAGAGUAAAGAAGAUUCUGGCAUGGGAACAGGGUGUCACUGCAGCCCCUUUGAUGGCAGCAGGAGAGGGGUUUGCUGUUCCUACACGUGGGUGUCUGACUGAGCAAGGGGAUUAACAGAGGCAGAAGUUCAGAAUUUGGUCAUUGCAAAGACAGUAUAUAAUUUCUUAGUCCUUACCAACAGCAGUCUGGAUGAAUCUUCACUUUUAAUACCAAUUACAAUGCAUUUUUCUAUUUAAAAUUAUCCUUAGAAGUGAGUGUACAUCUGCUGUUUCACAGUUAAGUUUAAAAUAACUGUUUCUUUCAUAUUGAAAUAAUUAGAUAUGAAUCAUUCUGUAGUCUGAGAAUUUCAUACAUGGUUCAUAUAUAACAUAUAUAGAUCUGAAAAAAUCACCUUCCUUAAUAAGCUAACAGGUACAACUAUAAAUGCACAUUAUCAGUAUAUUACUAAAAAAAUCACAGAAAUAUCUGACUCCUUUUGCUUCUCAUAGUCUUUUGGAACAGAAUUCUACAUUUUUGAUGAAAGGCAUGUUUGAUGAAUUGUCUGAACCAGUGCAAAACCUUUGAGAAAAAUGUAUAUUCCAAAGUCUUCUCCUUAAAGGAGAGAAUAUUAAAACUUUAGCAAUAUACAGGACUACAAUUUUUGCCUGAGAGCAAAUUCUGCUGGAACCAGCAUGUGCAAUCGAAAUCAAAAUCUUUCUCAGUGUGAAGUGAAUCCAUGAAAGGAUCUCUGCAGCUCCUUUCUGUGGAAGUUGUUUCUUCCAGGGCAGACAGAGAACAGCAGAUGCUGGUUGACCCCUCAAGGGAAGAGCAGAUGAAGUGGGAACAGCUACUUAGAAUUCCCUGCACUUAAAUAAUAAAGCAAGAACAGUUCAGCAGGAGGAGUACAGACAGAUAUUAGUGUGGUGGGAAAUCUAGAGGAGCUGCAGCCUAGGGAAAGAAAAUGAAGAUAUAAAGUUUGUCAUGAAAGGGUGUUGGAAAACAAGGAUUUAUUCCAGCAGUGUUGAGGGAGGGAAUAAGGGCUGCUCAAUCCCUGCUCCACCAGGUGAGUGCAUUGUAGUACAGACAAAAGACAAGUCUUGGUGUAAAGGACAGACUAUUGCCUUAUUCUGAGCAGAAAGCUCUAAAAAAAGUAAUUAUUGGUAAAAGCAAAGUGUCUGAAGGAGUAGAAGAAAAGGGUAUCAUUCAGUGAUACUUCUUGGAUUGGAUUGUGUUAUAAAUUACAGGUGUUUGUUUAUGCCCAUAUGAGAAGGAAGGGAACUGAUUUCAUCAAGAGCAAUUUGUUGUACCUUCCCUGCUUAGGUACAAUAAAAUGUUCAGUUGCAGAGGGUUCCUUGCUAAAAGUUGCACAGUAGUAUUUAUCUGUCAUAGAUGUUUUUCAAGAGAAUACAGCAGAACUGGAAACUCAAAGUUUGAGUGUAAACCUGCAGUAAUCCACUGUCAGGAGAAUUGUGUAGGUGUAUAAAAUUGAUUUCAAAGGGAAUGAAGAGGUGUGACUUGUGAAUUGCUACUUUUUAAAGAUAAAAAAUUAGUUCACAUGUAGGUCAUGUUAAAAAAAGAAAGUAAUUUUUUGUCCUUGUCUCUUUAUUAUGCACAUUUUUAUAGAUGUUUUCUUUGGUUGCCUAUAGCCUUUCUGCUAUUUUAAAUAUGCUCAAAUUUUUAUUGAGAUGAAAAUGUUAAGAGAUGUAAUGAUACUGAUAUAUCAAGUGGGGCCAUUUGAAAACAAGGCUUGAUGUGUUAUGCCAAUACAAAUUAAAUCCCUGCAGUUGAACCUUGAGCACUUGUGUUUGUGAUGUAUAAAAUUGUUCCUUUAAAGCUGUCUCUGUCUUGUGUCCCUUC